CCCUCUGCAGGCCCGGGGGUGUGUCAGGCUGUGGGGAGUGACGUCCCGAGCCACGUGGGUGCUGCGUGGCUCGUAGUCCUUGUCAAGCACCGGUGACCCGCGGGGUGGGCAGCGGCCGGGCUUGCAGGUUUCCGUUCCUUCCCUUAAGACGCCAUUUGGGGGGCAGUGGGUGAGGUCCCCGGCCUCGGCCGCAGCUUUCCCUUAAGGCUGUCAUUUGGGGGGCGGAGGCUCAGGUCCGUAGCCAGCUCCGCUGCCCUCUUGAGGCAUCAUUUGGGGGAGCGGUGGGCAGGGGCGGUUUGUCUCUGCCUGCGGUCCUCCCUUAAGACGCCACUGGGGUCCGCAGUGGGGAGGGCCGGAGGGCCCCCGCAGUCCUCCUUGAUGGUGUCAUUUGCGGGGGGCAGCGGCCAGGUCCGUAGGCCCCCGCUGUCCUCCCUUAAGUUACCAUUCGGGUUGGCAGUGGGUCUGGUCUGAACCCCUGUAGUUCUCACUUAAGGCCUUUCGGGGGGGGCCGCGGGCCAGGUCCCUAGGGCUUGGCCCGCGGCCCCUCCUUAAGGUGUUACUUGGGGCUGCAGUGGGCAAAGGCCUGGAGGUCGCCGCUGUCUGCUCUCGGGGUCAUCUUGCCGAGCUGCGGUGUGGUGCUGCCCUGCUCGCAAACGGGUCAAGCACUGACAGUCUUUUCACACCCCCAAGCCCGAGCUACGGUGUGGUGCUGCCUAGCUCUGUGGGCGGUCAAGCACUGGUGGUCACUUGAGGGGACUUGUGCCCUCUCAAGGCCAUCCCAUGGGGAAGCACGAGCACACGGGGCGCCGCCAAAAAAACCAGCAGAGAAAACAGCACAAAAGCAGGUGUGAGCUGGCCUGCUAUUUAAUGGACAAAUAAAAUUGAUCUGCCAGGCACCUUCUUGGUGCCUGGUGCCUUUCACCUCCAAGUUCCUGCUCCCCCUCUGCGCUGUUUCUCUUCUCUCCUGUCCUGUUCUUUCACAUCCAAGUUUCCCCGCCCGCUGCCCCCUUUCAUUUCUGCAGUGGUUCCCUUGCAACCACUGCGUGCUGAGGGCCUCCGGGCUGGCCACCCAGGAUGCUGAGUCCCUUGCUGAAAGGGAUUGGUGGCAGAUGUCGCUUGACUUGGCUCUCCGGGAGUCGAGUGUUGGAGACUGGCCUGGCCACCUGAGGCUGCAGCCCCGAAUCCUGCAAAGCAGGUCCCCUUUGGGGGUCUGCACGUCAUCCCCAGAAGGACAAGCAGACAAGAUGGCAGAUGGGUCGGAGCGAGCUGACCGGGAAGGCGGAAAACGAGGCCAGCCUAACAGGAGGCACAGGCCUCGGGAGAACCAGGAGAAGCAGCGGGGAAGAGGCGAGGUAGGAGAAAAGCCAGGCAGAGAAACAGGAUGAGAAGGAAAGGGAUUCUGGACAGAGUGACCUCCCUGCCUUUAGGUCUCAAUCAUGUCUCAGCCAAAUUUUGGCUGCGUGAGCCUUUGGGCGAGCUCUCUGUAACUCAGAGAUGGAUCUCUGCCCUUGAAGCUGUUACACUUCUGUAGCAGUCAGGUGGAAGGUGGACAACCCUGUAAGCAAGGUGUGUGUCACCGCUACCUCGUUUGUAAAUCCACGGAUCUGGCUGGUGGUCUUGUGCGGAGCAGCCGCCCUGUAAUCGGGGUGCAGGCCAGCUGCCAAACAUGACUGCCAAUGCUGCAGCCUCCUAUAAGCAGGGUGAGUGCUGCUCCUAACAUGCGAGGACAGGCGAUAUGAACGUGUGUAGCGCUGGACAUCCCGUAAUUGGGAGUCCAAGUCCACUGCUAUUGCUAGCCAGUUGGAGAGGUGCCCCUGUAAGCAGGGUGGGCAUAGCCACCUACCGCUGGCUGGAGAGAGACGGAGCAGCCUGCCGCAUUGUGCAGCAGGACAGCCUUGCAGACAGGAGCCGGGUCUCGUUGGUGACAGCAAACAUUUUAGACCCCGGAGCCUGAUGACUUUCCCGUGGCUGGGUUGAAGCCUGUGGCCUCCUCACCUUUCCCUGUGUCCAGGCAUCUGUCCCUUGUCCUGCAUCAGUGCCUGGUACUCCAUGUCCGGACCCCUGGACUGCCCUGUAACGAGGGUGUGAGUCCCGUGUCUCUUGGUGGAGGACUAGGUUAUGCAAAGCAGUGGACCACCCUGUAAGCAGGGUCUGGGCAUCCAUGUCCCUUUGGUGAGAGAGCUUUCCUUUGGCUAGCCUGAGGGCCCGGCCUGCAAGCAGGGCUCUGGGCAUGUCCCUUUUGAACCUUGUGGGCAGUCUGGCUGGUCAGACGGGCCGGGCCCUGUAACGAGGGUGCGAGUCCCGUGUCUCUUGGUGGAGGGCUAGGUUCUGCAGAGCUGUGGACCACCCUGUAAGCAGGGUCCAGGUCUCAGUGUGCUUUUGGGGACAGCUCUGUCCUUUGGCUGGCUGUUGGCCCGCCCUGUAAGCAGGGCUCUGGGCAUGUCCCUUUUGAACCUUGUGGGCAGUCUGGCUGGUCAGACGGGCCGGGCCCUGUAAGGAGGGUGCGAGUCCCGUGUCUCUUGGUGGAGGGCUAGGUUCUGCAGAGCCAUGGACCACCCUGUAAGCAGGGUCCAGGUCUCCACGUGCCUUUUGGGGACAGCUCUGUCCUUUGGCAGGCUGAGGGCCCUCCCUGUAAGGAAGGCCUCGCCUAUGGGCUAUCUGGCUGGCCAGGCGGGCCGUACCCUGUAAGGAGGGUGCCGGUCUUAGCCGUCUUGCCUCCUGGGAGCGGAGGAGGAUUUUGCAGGGUAAGGCUCGAGGACAAGCAGUUUGCAGCACGGAGCUGCUUUCCGGCCUGGGAACACUCUUCCUUGUCAGUGUGUGGCGAGCGAGAGAGAGGAGCGCCUGGGAAUGAAAGCGUUUGUUAUUUUCUUUUUGUUGUUAAAAUCGCUGCAGCGUACUUUAUUUUCUUCCCAGUGCUGGAAAGGGGCGAGAUGUGUCCACAUAGCCUUAUUCUUCCACCUCUGUACCUAGGGGGUUAAGCACCGGCAUAGAUUUCUGUGACUUCUGGCUUCGGGGAGCAUUAGGCCACCCCCCCCCAGUGACCUCCCUGUCUCUCAGGGUACGGGUCUUGGGCCCCCCUUGGGUGGCCAGCACGGUCCUUUGCCCACUUGGUAGCUCACACGAAGACUUCCUGCCAUCCGUCCUGGGGGCAGGCUCUGUAUCCCAUACCCGAGUCCCUGGAGACAAGUGCCCUGGCACUUGGCCAGCCGUCCUCCUGCGCCCCUGGCCCCGGCCUGCAGCCUGUAAGCAGGGUCCAGGUCCCCUUGAUUUUCUGGGUCUUGUUCCAGUGGGUGAGGUUGGCCAGAGACGAUACCCACGGGCUACAGGGAAGGUUGCAGUGCGCUGGCACCCCGAGGCAUCGUGACCUCCCUGUAACUCAGGUCCAGGUCUCUGCUCCUCUGUUCUGCUGCUCCUGGCACUGUUGAGAGGGCCUCUCCCCGCGCCCGGUAAACAGGGCUGCGCCCCCCACCCGCUCUGACCCUGGGGGAGGAGGCUUUGUUUAGUCCUUUGGGCUCUGUGGCUUCAGUGACACGAGGCUGAAGUUGUGGCCCUUAUGUCCUCCAGGAAUGGGGCAAUUUUGACCCCUGGUCAAGACGGCCUGAGGUACCUGUCAGCUGGCAUUCAGGUCUUUGCAGGUUUUCUCUGGGCUUCAUGCCCCAGCAGCCAGCUGUGUGCCGGGAGCACCGCCCUGUAAGCAGGGUUUCUGGUGUUGGCGGUCACCGCUCAUGGUGCCGCCCAAGCAGUUCUGUCCAGAGCCCUGGCCUUCGCACGCAGCUUCUGGCUGGCCCGGAUGUCUGCCUCCCCCAUCUCUGCGGACAGAGGACAGCGGCCGCAGGUCCAGGCCCAAGCAGAGAAAAUGGCAGACCAGCAGGAAUCCACUUACAAGGAGGGAAGAAAACCAUGCCAGCCCAGCAAAGGUGUCGGAAGGACAAGCCGCAGGCAAGCCGUGACGGGCAAAAAGCCAGCAAAACGGGGUGCGAAGGGAAGGGACUCUGGACAGAAUGAUCUCCCUGCCUUCAGGUCUCAGUCAUGUAUUAACCACUUUUUGCAUGUGUGAGCCUUUGGGCGAGCUCUCUGUAACUCAGAAAUGGGUCUCAGCCCUUGAAGCCGUUGCACUUCUGCAGCAGUCGGGUGGAAGGUGGACAACCCUGGAAGCAAGGCGUGUGUCGCCGCCGACUCUUCUCAAGGCCGUGGAUCUGGUUGGUGGUCUUGCGCAUCGCAGCCGCCCUGUAAUCAGGGUCCAGGCCAGCUGGCUGCCAAUGGUGCAGCCUCCUGUACGCGGGGUGCGUGCUGCCUCCUAACACGUGAGAACAACAGGCAAUUUGACCAUGUGUAGCGCUGGACUUCCCGUAAUUGGGAGUCCAAGUCCCCUGCCAUAGCCAGCCAGCCGGAGAGGUGCCCCUGUAAGCAGGGUGGGCAUAGCCGCCUUCCGCUGGGCUGAGAGACACGGCGCAGUCUGCCGCGUUGUGCAGCAGGAGGGCCUUGCAGACAGGAGCCGGGUCUCGUGGAGUGACAGCAAACUCUUCGCAUCCCAGAGCCUGAUGACCUUCCUGUGGCUGGGUUGAAAUCUGUGGUCUCCUCACCGUUCUCUGAGUCCAGGCAUCUGUCCUUCAUCCUGCAUCUGUGCCUGGUACUCCACAUCCAGACCCCUGGGCCACCCUGUAACGAGGGGGCGAGUCCCAGGCAUCCUGUAGGACGGCCAGGGUCUGCAGAGCUGUGGACCACCCUGUAAGCAGGGUCCAGGUCUCAGUGUGCUUUUGGGGACAGCUCUGUCCUUUGGCUGGCUGUUGGCCCGCCCUGUAAGCAGGGCUCUGGGCAUGUCCCUUUUGAACCUUGUGGGGCAGUCUGGCUGGCCAGAUGGGCCGUGCCCUGUAAGGAGGGUGCGAGUCCCGUGUCUCUUGGUGGAGGGCUAGGUUCUGCAGAGCUGUGGACCACCCUGUAAGCAGGGUCCAGGUCUCCACGUGCCUUUUGGGGACAGCUCUGUCCUUCGGCAGGCUGAGGGCCCUCCCUGUAAGGAAGGCCUCGCCUAUGGGCGAUCUGGCUGGCCAGGCGGGCUGUACCCUGUAAGGAGGGUGCCGGUCCCAGCCGUCUUGCCUCCUGGGAGUGGAGGAGGAUUUUGCAGGGUAAGGCUCGAGGACAAGCAAUUUGCAGCACGGAGCUGCUUUCCGGCCUGGGAACACUCUUCCUUGUCAGUGUGUGGCGAGCGAGAGAGAGGAGCGCCUGGGAAUGAAAGCGUUUGUUAUUUUCUUUUUGUUGUUAAAAUCGCUGCAGCGUACUUUAUUUUCUUCCCAGUGCUGGAAAGGGGCGAGAUGUGUCCACAUAGCCUUAUUCUUCCACCUCUGUACCUAGCGGGUUAAGCACCGGCAUAGAUUUCUGUGACUUCUGGCUUUGGGGAGCAUUAGGCCACCCCCCCCCAGUGACCUCCCUGUCUCUCAGGGUACGGGUCUUAGGCCCCUCUUGGGUGGCCGGCACGGUCCUUUGCCCACUUGGUAGCUCACACGAAGACUUCCUGCCAUCCGUCCUGGGGGCAGGCUCUGUAUCCCGUACCCGAGUCCCUGGAGACAAGUGCCCUGGCACUUGGCCAGCCGUCCUCCUGCGCCCCUGGCCCCGGCCUGCAGCCUGUAAGCAGGGUCCAGGUCCCCUUGAUUUUCUGGGUCUUGUUCCAGUGGGUGAGGUUGGCCAGAGAUGAUACCCACGGGCUACAGGGAAGGUUGCAGUGCGCUGGCACCCCGAGGCAUCGUGACCUCCCUGUAACUCAGGUCCAGGUCUCUGCUCCUCUGUUCUGCUGCUCCUGGCACUGUUGAGAGGGCCUCUCCCCACGCCCUGUAAACAGGGCUGCGCCCCCCACCCGCUCUGACCCUGGGGGAGGAGGAGGCUUUGUUUAGUCCUUUGGGCUCUGUGGCUUCAGUGACACGAGGCUGAAGUUGUGGCCCUUAUGUCCUCCAGGAAUGGGGCAAUUUUGACCCCUGGUCAAGACCGCCUGAGGUACCUGUCAGCUGGCAUUUAGGUCUUUUCAGGUUUUCUCUGGGCUUCAUGCCUCAGCAGCCAGCUGUGUGCCGGGAGCGCCGCCCUGUAAGCAGGGUUUCUGGUGUUGGCGUCACCGCUCAUGGUGCCGCCCUAGCAGUUCUGUCCAGAGUCCUGGCCUUCGCACGCAGCUUCUGGCUGGCCCGGAUGUCUGCCUCCCCCAUCUCCGUGGACAGAGGACAGCGGCCGCAGGUCCAGGUCCCCGAAGGGCAGCUGGAGAAGAAGGAACGGAACCAGCAGAAGCAAGCUCGGGAACAAGAAGUGUGGGUCGGGGUGGGCAGGAGGAAGGGGAAUGUUUAAUGUCUGCUCAGAGAAGGACAGAUGGAGGCUGUUGAGUGCAUCUACACUUUCACACACCCAGGAGGAGCAAGCAGCCACACGCUUCAAGUUGCACCGUGCAUUCAGUCUUGGGUUGGCCCCGAUUGUGUGCAGGGAGGUUGAGGCUUUGUGCUAGUCGUGCAUAUCGAUAUGCAGCAGUCAAGGGUUUUGCAGGUUGUGUGCAAGGAGGCUGAGGCGUUGUGCUAGUUGUGUGUAUUGAUAUGCAGCUGUCACGGGUUUCGCAGGCGGUUUGGCUUUGCCAGUGAAGCGGUGGAUCAGAAUAGGUGUGACUGAAGGCAGCGUGUAGGGCGUUCUUGGUUGGGUUGUUGAGCGGUUCUCGGUGUUAGUGUAGGAACACAGGUUUGUGCUCGGUUCUGUUUGUGGCUUGGCUGUAGCUUGCUUAGGCUGUAGCUUGCAGGGCCAAUUUGAGGCUGUUUAUGGUGCAAUUUGUUUGCGUCUGUAAAUUAAGGCUCUGCGGGUGUUUGAAAGUGUUAAUCUCCAGCUCCACGGGGACGAAGAUUUUGUCCUCUGUCCAAAUGAUCCUCAAGGUAGUUGGCAUGGUCCAUGUCAAACCAGUAGGAAGCAAGUGGGCCUAAGAUGUGCACAGUCAACAAUAAAUGGUCUAAAAACUGUCUACCUUGUGGCUGGUGCUCUUCUACACGGAGAAGAUUUGGUCCUUUUUCCUUUCCUACUGAGAUCUGGCUGAAGGAAUAAACUUUUUCAUUCUGUCGGCCGAUCUGAUGUGUAUUCUUACUUGCUCAAUGCAAAUAUUUCCUGUUGGAUUUACAAAUGGUAAAAGACUCUAAGGUGGUUCCCAGUCAUCGCUUUACAAUUGUCAAUGCGCUGUGGGAAAAUCAGUCUCGAUUUAUUUGAAGGACUAAAAAAUAAGGCACAGUAACUGUGCGGUGCUUGGGUAUAAUCUGUUGAAGUUCAACUGCCCCUUUUCUCAAAAGAAAAACAUGGUCCCAAUAAAAAUAAAAUGCUCAGGAAACUUG
Long non-coding RNA from Alligator mississippiensis (American alligator), 7337 nucleotides. RefSeq lists it as uncharacterized. NCBI's taxonomy places the organism in Eukaryota, Metazoa, Chordata, Crocodylia, Alligatoridae. The record is from RefSeq and is a predicted model, not a curated record. The transcript has 5 exons.